UGCCAAAAAAUGGGAGAAAACCAGCCAAAAAAUGGUGAAAAAAUGGGGAAAAAAUGGUCAAAAAAUGGGGGAAAAUGGUGAAAAAAUGGGAAAAAAUGGCCAAAAAAUGGUGAAAAAAUGGCCAAAAAAUGGGGGGAAAAAACGGCCAAAAAAUGGGGGAAAACGGCCAAAAAAAGGGGAAAAAGGGCCAAAAAAUGGGUUUGGGGACACACCUGAGUCACCUGCGGGGCUGCGGCGCUGCCUCAGAACCCACCAGGACACCCGGUGCCUGAAGUGGACGGUGUGACCCCGCCCCCAACAUGGCUGCCGCGGCCACGCCCACAACAUGGCUGCUGCUGUGACUCCGCCCCAAGAUGGCCGCCGUGAACGCGUCUUGUGUGGUCCCGCCCCUCAUACCCCAAUAUGGCUGUUGUGGCUCCACCCCCAAGAUGGCUGCUUUGACUCCACCCCCAAGAUGGCUGAAUUAGCCCCACCCACCCAAAAUGGCCACUAUGGCCACACCCCAAGAUGGCCACCAUGGCCACACCCCCAAGAUGGCGGCCAUGGCCUCGCCCCAAGAUGGCGGCCGUGGCCCCACCCACCCCAAGAUGGCUGCUAUGGCCACACCCUAAAAUGGCCACCUUGGCCACACCCCAAGAUGGCGGCCAUGACCACACCCCCAAGAUGGCCACCAUGGCACCACCCACCCCAAGAUGGCUGCCAUGGCCACACCCCAAGAUGGCAGCCAUGGCCACACUUCCAAGAUGGCCGAAUUAGCCCCAUCCACACCAAGAUGGCCACCAUGGCUACACCCCCAAUAUGGUGGCCAUGGCCACAUCCCAAGAUGGCUGCCAUGGCCACACCCCAAGAUGGCCGAAUUAGCCCCACCCACCCAAAAUGGCCACCAUGGCCACAACCCAAGAUGGCCACCUUGGCCACACCUCCAAGAUGGUGGCCAUGGCCACCCACCUCAAAAUGGCCGCCAUGGCCACACCCCAAAAUGGCUGCCUUGGCCACACCCCAAGGUGGCGGCCAUGGCCACACCCCAAAAUGGCCGCCUUGGCCACACCCCAAGAUGGCCGAUUUAGCCCCACCCACCCCAAGAUGGUGGCCAUGGCCACACCCCAAAAUGGCCACCUUGGCCACACCCCAAGAUGGCGGCCAUGGCCACACCCCAAAAUGGCGACCUUGGCCACACCCCAAAAUGGUGGCCAUGGCCACACCCCAAAAUGGCCACCUUGGCCACACCCCAAGAUGGCAGCCGGCCCCCUUUGACCCCAAAUCCAAUUUUUUCCCACCAAAAUCUUUGGGCUGGAAUUUAUUGAGGGAGGGGGAGGA
This 1317-nucleotide long non-coding RNA is filed under the name Chloebia gouldiae (Gouldian finch). RNAcentral's name for it is "Erythrura gouldiae (Gouldian finch) lncRNA (ENSEGOG00005018375.1)". The record is from RNAcentral. Lineage: Eukaryota; Metazoa; Chordata; Aves; Passeriformes; Passeridae.